This 185-nucleotide non-coding RNA is filed under the name Planctomycetota bacterium. RNAcentral describes it as "Planctomycetes bacterium (freshwater sediment metagenome) 6S RNA". It matches the Rfam family "6S / SsrS RNA". Rfam says of the family: E. coli 6S RNA was the first non coding RNA to be sequenced, but its function was unknown until recently. Lineage: Bacteria; Pseudomonadati; Planctomycetota. The record is from RNAcentral.
GAGCCUCUGCCCGGUUCGUGUUUAGGAGCUUAUUGAAACAACCGAUACACUCACAUCGGGGACCGGCAAUGAUGCUGCGACGAGCACGCUCCGCAUAGCGGAGAAGCCAUGACUUGCAGCACUUGGUUCCCACUUACAUGUGGGUUGAUUUCAAAUGCUUCUUACGGCCUGACGGCGGGGGUUUA